CGGGGUGGAGCAGCCUGGUAGCUCGUCGGGCUCAUAACCCGAAGGUCGUCAGUUCAAAUCUGGCCCCCGCAACCA
RNAcentral lists this transfer RNA (75 nucleotides) under Citrobacter portucalensis. RNAcentral describes it as "tRNA-Met". It matches the Rfam family "tRNA". From Rfam's summary of the family: Transfer RNA (tRNA) molecules are approximately 80 nucleotides in length. Their secondary structure includes four short double-helical elements and three loops (D, anti-codon, and T loops). Further hydrogen bonds mediate the characteristic L-shaped molecular structure. tRNAs have two regions of fundamental functional importance: the anti-codon, which is responsible for specific mRNA codon recognition, and the 3' end, to which the tRNAs corresponding amino acid is attached (by aminoacyl-tRNA synthetases). tRNAs cope with the degeneracy of the genetic code in two manners: having more than one tRNA (with a specific anti-codon) for a particular amino acid; and 'wobble' base-pairing, i.e. permitting non-standard base-pairing at the 3rd anti-codon position. The record is from RNAcentral. Lineage: Bacteria; Pseudomonadati; Pseudomonadota; Gammaproteobacteria; Enterobacterales; Enterobacteriaceae.